Long non-coding RNA from Polypterus senegalus (gray bichir), 559 nucleotides. RefSeq lists it as uncharacterized. The transcript has 4 exons. The record is from RefSeq and is a predicted model, not a curated record. Lineage: Eukaryota; Metazoa; Chordata; Cladistia; Polypteriformes; Polypteridae.
ACUCCCCAGCAUUUAGAGAUCCCGAGACCUCACCAUCUCUGACAACCACCAUGUUUGCUGUGAAAGCAGUUUGCCUCCUCGUCACUGUUGCUAUGCUUGUUGCAAUGGUGGCUGCGGGCAAACCGAAUGAGAGAGUCUGUGUAAAAGGCUUUGACAUUUGUUAUGACCAGUAAAGGAGUCACACAUGCACACCAGAGUGUCUUCUUCCAGGCUCACCUAAAUGAAGUAAUACCACCCCAGGAAGAGAGGGGGCGCUCCUGCUGCCAGUCUUAUUUCCUUCUUCCCUCACAGCCACGAGUAACCAUCCCUUGAAGGCACUGAAACAAAAGAAGCCCCUUCUGGUCUGAAAUAAAAGGAGACCAUCCACGGAGGAUGGCAUCUCAUUUUAGAUGUUGACAAGGCUUAUGCUCAACCAUGAGCCAGAAAUGCAUCCAUCUAAAACGGUUGAUUGAAAUGACUAUUUAUUGACAAGAAAACACAUGUUGAAGUGCUUGAGUUUUGUUCCAUUGCUUGCUUUUUAAUGAAAUUAAACAGUUUUUAUUACCAACUUAGCACAAAA